Nyctereutes procyonoides (raccoon dog) is the source of this 534-nucleotide long non-coding RNA. RefSeq lists it as uncharacterized. Lineage: Eukaryota; Metazoa; Chordata; Mammalia; Carnivora; Canidae. The transcript is spliced from 3 exons. The record is from RefSeq and is a predicted model, not a curated record.
UUCAGAAGCACCUGCAGAGCUUCUCGAAACUCUUGGCCAGCCCUGUCGCCAGAGUUUCUGAUUUGGUAGGUCUAGAAUGGCACCGGGAAUUUGCACUUCAGCAAGUGAUCAAGUGAUGGCAAAGCUGCUGGUAGGAGGACCGAGCUCCAAGAACCACUGUUCUAAGGUGCUCCUCCGGUGGAAGCAGUGGUUAUGCAUUUGAGGUGUUGAAGGAUGCAAGGAAUCUCUCAUUGCACGGACCCUCUGAUUAUGGUGAAAGAACAGUUUGUCAUAAUUUUACAGAAGGCAUACCAGAGGAUCAAGAUGAACAUUGGCUCAGGGAGGAUCUACUCUCAACCAUAGGGAUAAUCUUGGAUUUUCAUUGAUCAUUCCCUUUUCAUUUUUCUUUGUCUUUUCUUUCCAGUUUGCUUUUGUAUUUCCUUACCUUCAUUACCAGGUCAUUUUCCUUAAUUCCUUCUUUUUGGAAAACAGCAUGAAUAAGUGGAAGGAACACGAAUUUUGGAGUAUAAAUAGACCUGAGUUUCAAUACAACUU